CCGCCGUAACGCCGCGCCACUUUAUGUAACGUUGUUUUAACGUCAUAUCCUGUUAGUUUGUUAUUGUCAGUUGAAUUAAAGGAACGAACCUGAACACAACGUCUUAUUACUUACAAAGUCUUUACAUGUUGGUGCCGUGAUUAUUACAUUAGAAGUACGAUGAAUUUACAGAAGUUACGAUAAAAUAGAGGAGGUACUAAACGCACCAUCGCUAUUUUGCUGGAGAAAAUCGAAGAAAAGAAAGAGAAUGGAACGCUGAUAGAAAUCAACAUACUUCUAAAAAAUUUGGAGACAAAAGUGGAAAUGCUAGAGACACUUAGCGAAAAAAUCUUAUCAAACACGGAAACUGAAGAAAUUGAAGAUGAAAUUGUGGAAACAGAUAUUUACAUGAUGGAUUUACGCAUGAAAUUAGGCACACUUAUCGCCGAGCGUGAUCAACGGGAUACGAGCAUAGGGAGUCAGCAGCCGACAUUUCAUCCCAUGGAUACGCAGCGUGGUCGAGACGAUACGGGUGUAGGAGGUCAACAGACCACAUUUCAUACCUUAGUACAGCGUGAUCAACGGGAUACGAGCAUAAGGAGUCAGCAGCCGACAUUUCAUCCAAUGGAUACGCAGCGUGGUCGAGAGGAUACGGGUUUAGGAGGUCAACAGACGACAUUUCAUCCCUUGGAUGCACAGCGUGAUCAAGCGGAUACGAGGUUGGAAAUUCAACAGACGACAUUUCAUCCCGACGACACACCAACUACACUGGAGAACAGAUACACAUGCGUUACGUAAUCCAGUCGAUACCAUUCAUCUGACAGGAGGCAGAGAAGGCUUGAUGGUGGCGCACUGUCGCGAUGGCUUCUAUGGUUAAAGGGAGCUUAUUGCGGUGUUGAUAAAACGUUUCAGUGAUUUAGUUUCCAUCGGGAGACCAACACACUACAUCAGGUUUCUACUUGCAGUUUGACAAACGCUAUCCGCCAUAUGCUUCGCCAUGGAAGAAUAGUUUGCAAAUUUAUGUUUUCAUCUACAAAUGGAGCUGGUACCAAAGAUUUAAAUCUGUGUUAAAACAUGCUUCGAAUUCAAGUAAAAUGGAAUAUAUAACAAUGUAAUUUGUAGAUAUAUGCAUAAGCAAGCGAAGAAUUUCGCACGUGGAUUUGGUGUGUUAUGUGAUGGAUGCGGCGGAUGGU
This is a long non-coding RNA of Dreissena polymorpha, 1172 nucleotides long. RefSeq lists it as uncharacterized. The transcript has 4 exons. NCBI's taxonomy places the organism in Eukaryota, Metazoa, Mollusca, Bivalvia, Myida, Dreissenidae. The record is from RefSeq and is a predicted model, not a curated record.